AGGGCUAUAGCUCAAUGGUAGAGCUAGCAUGUAUGAGGUCUGGGUUCAAUCCCCAGUACCACCA
RNAcentral lists this transfer RNA (64 nucleotides) under Ictidomys tridecemlineatus (thirteen-lined ground squirrel). RNAcentral describes it as "Spermophilus tridecemlineatus (thirteen-lined ground squirrel) tRNA". It matches the Rfam family "tRNA". Rfam says of the family: Transfer RNA (tRNA) molecules are approximately 80 nucleotides in length. Their secondary structure includes four short double-helical elements and three loops (D, anti-codon, and T loops). The record is from Rfam by way of RNAcentral. Lineage: Eukaryota; Metazoa; Chordata; Mammalia; Rodentia; Sciuridae.